Molecule: ribosomal RNA, 496 nt
Filed under: uncultured bacterium
Lineage: Bacteria
Description: partial 16S ribosomal RNA
Rfam family: Bacterial small subunit ribosomal RNA
Source: RNAcentral
AUGAACGCUGGCGGCGUGCCUAAUACAUGCCAGUCGAGCGAACGGACGAGAAGCUUGCUUCUCUGAUGUUAGCGGCGGACGGGUGAGUAACACGUGGAUAACCUACCUAUAAGACUGGGAUAACUUCGGGAAACCGGAGCUAAUACCGGAUAAUAUUUUGAACCGCAUGGUUCAAAAGUGAAAGACGGUCUUGCUGUCACUUAUAGAUGGAUCCGCGCUGCAUUAGCUAGUUGGUAAGGUAACGGCUUACCAAGGCAACGAUGCAUAGCCGACCUGAGAGGGUGAUCGGCCACACUGGAACUGAGACACGGUCCAGACUCCUACGGGAGGCAGCAGUAGGGAAUCUUCCGCAAUGGGCGAAAGCCUGAUGGAGCAACGCCGCGUGAGUGAUGAAGGUCUUCGGAUCGUAAAACUCUGUUAUUAGGGAAGAACAUAUGUGUAAGUAACUGUGCACAUCUUGACGGUACCUAAUCAGAAAGCCACGGCUAACUACGUG